UUUCCGUAGGUGAACCUGCGGAAGGAUCAUUAAUGAGCAAAGUCCUUUGGGACUUUCUUUUCUACAACACCUGUGAAAAUCACUUUUUUGCUAUGGGAAUUUAAUUAUUCCGAACAAUCAUAAUCAACAAGCUGUCUUCUGACUGAUUGAUUAUUUAAAUAAUCACACUUUUCAACAAUGGAACUCUUUGAUCUCGCAACGAUGAUGAAUGAAGCCGAUUGGAAGAGCACAUGUUUGAACUCCCAUCAAUUAGUAAGACAUCGUAUGCCGACUUCACCC
RNAcentral lists this unclassified non-coding RNA (279 nucleotides) under plant metagenome. Its description in RNAcentral is "partial contains small subunit ribosomal RNA, internal transcribed spacer 1, and 5.8S ribosomal RNA". The record is from RNAcentral.